UCUCGCCCUUCAACACUAGAUGGUGCAUUUGGCAACAACAAAAAUGCAAGGGCAAUGAGGCCACUAGGGGAUGAUGGUGGAUGGCCCAAAAGAGAAGCUAAUGGGAGUCUAAUUUCUAUUGCCGUUCCAUCCACUGUUAUAGCGUUGAUUAUUUGCACUGCGGAUGGUUGCUAUUACUCAAAUUCAGGGAUUCAGAUGACAUGACUCAAAGAUAUCCACAUAUUGCAAUUCCAAAAUUUUCCGGGUCUUCUGGUGCUCUCCCUUGUUUCCGCUGCUGCCUCUCGCGCUUCUACACCUCGCGCCACACCUGAUUUGGCCUCUCCGUCCUCGGUGUCCAACACGAGGAGCAGUACACGAGGCUGCACCGCAGCCGGUGACAAGGAGGAUGACAUUGGGAGGCGGCAAUGGAGUUGUGGUGGGCUGUAGGAAGGACGGAAAGACAGCGGCAUCACGCUUGAAAGACGGCGGCAUCAAGCUCGAAUCGGUCGCUAGCAUCAUCAAUGGUUUGAGCUAUCAAGAGUGGAAUGGAAGGUGGAAAGAGAAUGGUGCGAUUUCUUCAUCUACGAUAACUCUGCUCUUGUACUCUUGAGGAAUGCUGACCAG
This is a long non-coding RNA of Lolium rigidum, 603 nucleotides long. RefSeq lists it as uncharacterized. The record is from RefSeq and is a predicted model, not a curated record. NCBI's taxonomy places the organism in Eukaryota, Viridiplantae, Streptophyta, Magnoliopsida, Poales, Poaceae. The transcript is spliced from 3 exons.